Durio zibethinus is the source of this 3292-nucleotide non-coding RNA. Lineage: Eukaryota; Viridiplantae; Streptophyta; Magnoliopsida; Malvales; Malvaceae. The record is from RefSeq and is a predicted model, not a curated record.
UGUAGGAAGAAGAGUGAUGCGGAUUUGUUAUAGACUUGUUAUACUGACGCGGAAUCUCGUUGUGCAACCUGCUUUUGAAAAUCUGUAUCUAAAUAUAAAAGCUGUCCCCCGUUUGUAUUGGAUGUACUGGAGGGACAAUUUAGCAAUGUAGAAAAAUAAUAUUGAGGGGUAAUUUUUUACUUUCUUCUUCUCCGGAAGCCUCAUAGAAAAUGACUUGAAAAGACCUUGGGAAAGAUUUGCAGCUGAGAUCAAUUUUCCGUUGCGAAACCAAGACGAUGCAGAAUUGAACAAAGUUAGGGAAGAUUUACAGUUGAGAUCAGAUUUCUACACGAGUGUUGGUUUCCCAACUGAGUUCCUUAGAGAAACUAAGCAAAAGCUGGGAUAUUGGAGGAAUGCAGAGGAAAAUUUGUUUUCGGAUCCACGGAGGGCCCUCACGCCUCAUCGUCUUGGUUUCCCAACUUAGUUCCCGUAGAGAAAUUAAACCAUUAGAGAAAUACCGGGUCUUGGUUUCCCAACUAAGUUUCCUUACGAGUUCGACUCAUUCGACUCCUUCUCUGCUCUCAUUUCCUCUGUUUAAUCUGUUUUUGGGUCCACUGAGACUGAGAGCAGUGACGAGGAUGAGUUUCUAGCUGGGUUGACUCGCGGACUCAUUCACUCAACAAGUCAAAAACUCACUGUUCUUAGCCUUUCCCUGGACAAAAACGAGACCUUUCAACCACGUUAAGUUGAGAGACAAUGAGUUGACCCUAACAAUGUGACUUCAAUCAUAUUGGGAGGAGGUGCAGGGACUCCUCUUUCCACUUACCAGAAGGAUGGCUACACCUGCUGUUCCAGUUAGAGAAUGCUAUGAGCUGAUAGACAUUCCAAUGCUACAAGAUCUCUUUGUUUUGACCCAGUUCAACUCAGCUUCCAUCAAUUGGCACCUUGCAUGCACAUAUUAUGACAAUGGUAUCAAUUUUGGGGAUGGGUUUGUGGAAGUAUGAAAUCAUUAAGGUUGAUAAAGGAUCAAUUUGCAACUUUCUACUGAUUUCGCAAGUAGAGUAAGAUGGCUAGCAGAAGAUUUUGUAUCAAAAGAAGAGAAAGAAUUUCUUAAUUAAAUUUUCUGUUGAAUAUUGAUGAUUAAUCUAGAAACACAGAAUUAACUGUGAUUUUUUCUUGAAGAUAGAAAGAAAGCCUCAUCUUCUUUGUCAGCUUAAUUAGUGCAAAACUCAAGUUAAACCUUUUUUUAAGGAAUUCUGGUGUCCAAUCAUAUAUGAUCUGUAGUAAUUUUAUUAAGGGUUCAUUCAUCAUUAAAUUACAUGACAAAACUCACUCGGUCAACAGGUUUUGGCCACCACUCAGACGUCAAGAGAGGCAGGGAAGAAGUGGCUCCAAGGAAGCGCAGAUGCUGUGAGGCAAUUUAUAUGGAUAUUUAAGGUAGGAAUUGAAAGGUUAUUUCUCUUUCUCAUGUCAUCUCAAACAGGAACUAAUAAAAAUGGGUGGGAAUUCAUGAAAAUAUACUGAUCUUGUGUGGAGAUCAUCUCAUUGAAUGGAUUAUAUGGAAUUUCUACAGGUAUUGAUUACUUUGACUUAAUUGGUCUUAUUUUUUUUUUGGCAUUGCUAAAAGCUUAAGUAACUUAUUUGCAAUGCUUGACAGAGUCACAUUAACAGUAAUGCUGAUAUUACAAUUUCACGCAUUAUGGUGGACAACAGGUCUUUUGAUCUUCUCUCAUCUUAAUAAUGUAGUUUUUAAGUUGUAUAUAUACUUUCUCUAAUUGUUCCCUACUAGUACAAGUUCCAUGGUUUAUAGUCACGUGAAAGGACUGUUUCAAGUUCCAGGUUUUGUUGAGAAGAAGGAUAAGCAUGACCAGGAACAUGGAGAUCAUCAUUGGUUGAACAUGGAAGAUGAUGAUGAUGAUGUGACUACAACUUCUGAAUCAUCCCUAGGGGAAUAUUCAAGAACUUCUCAGGGAUCAAUAGCUUCUUCAUCAGACUUGGAAGAUGAUGCAUCUUCAUCAACCUGAAAUUCUUCUUCGACGGCCAAUUAUAUUAAUGGACCUUUAUAUGAAUUGUCAGAGCUCAUGGCCCAACUUCCCAUCAAGUAAAUAUAGGUGAUAUGCUCCCUUAAUAGUAAUGGAAGACCAUGUUGUGAAGAUUUCAAAACCAAUUAAUAGAUAAAUCUUCUUAUCUUCUUUUGCUCUUGAAGUUGUUAAUAUCCAGAUUUAGAAUUUUCUGAAUUAUGAAUUUUCCUGGGUAUCGUUGGAUAUAACAUGAAGCAUAUAAAGCAUAUGAAGAUGCAUGAAAUACUUCUGGGAACUGAAAUACUUAUCAAAGUUUUGUUUGGGUUUUUAGCAUUUGCUGCUAUUGUUGCAUCUUUGGUGUUGGGAUCUAAUAUUAGGAGAAAGGGAAUUGCAUCAAAGUAUUUUUCUCUGAUGGUUAAGCAUUCAACCAAACCUGUUGUGAAGGAGAAACCAAGUUUGGUGCUUCUUGCUGAGAGAGAGGAGCACAAAAUGCAUGUUAAUUCCUUUUUGAGCACCAUGCCAUGCCUUUGAUUAUCUCUGCGGACAAAGAUAUUAAAGAAACUUACCAAAGCCUAGCACUUUAGUUGAGUUGCUUGAUGAGUUUGAGAUGGGAGCAAUUAGCAGCUCUCUUAAAGAGUUGUACUAUAAAAAGCAGAAUGAAAGAUGAAGUGAGCAACUAUUUUGAUUUUUUGGAAAAGAUUUAUUCAGCUCCAGUUCAGGAUCAACAAGAUUUCUCCGGAUUUUAUAUUGUCAAUUCGAGUUCAUCUGAAUUGGAAUAACUAUUCUAACAAAGCACCUUUGUUUUAAGCUUUUUGAAUUGGAAUCUUAUUGUGUUUGUGUUGCAACAGACAGGAAUGGAUGGAGAAGAGAAGAAUAACAUGGACACAACUCACAUUGAGGCGAUCAGCCAGAAUCCACGAUUGUGCAGUUGCAUCUCCAUGAAGGCAGUGAAGACAUUGAUAUUCUUAAAGUUGAGCCCAUCAGAAAAAGCAUCUUUGUUUUUUCAUAUAUGUGGCACCCACUUUCCAGGAAACUAAUGUAGAAUUAGAAUUUCGCUGUCUAAUGCCUCAUUCUGACUGUAGAUCUGUUCCUAUUCUAAUCUUUACGAAUUGAUCAAUAUUGUAAGACAAAUCAUCUGUUGCAUUAUCUUUUAACAAUCACUUUAUCACCUUUAUCAUCUUAAUUUAUGUUUCUUAUCCUUCUUAGUAUCUUCUUCCAGAUAUGCUUUCUUGGCCUCCAUCUACAUCAUAUUCUUAUUAUAAUUUAUCUUUGAGUAUUAAUGCACCAAUAGU